Molecule: ribosomal RNA, 392 nt
Filed under: uncultured Gammaproteobacteria bacterium
Lineage: Bacteria; Pseudomonadati; Pseudomonadota; Gammaproteobacteria
Description: bacterial SSU rRNA
Rfam family: Bacterial small subunit ribosomal RNA
Source: RNAcentral
AAUGGGCGCAAGCCUGAUCUAGCCGUGCCGCGUGAGUGAUGAAGGCCUUAGGGUCGUAAAGCUCUUUCGCCUGUGAAGAUAAUGACUGUAGCAGGUAAAGAAACCCCGGCUAACUCCGUGCCAGCAGCCGCGGUAAUACGGAGGGGGUUAGCGUUGUUCGGAAUUACUGGGCGUAAAGCGCGCGUAGGCGGACAUUUAAGUCAGAGGUGAAAUCCCAGGGCUCAACCCUGGAACUGCCUUUGAUACUGGGUGUCUUGAGUUCGAGAGAGGUGAGUGGAAUUCCGAGUGUAGAGGUGAAAUUCGUAGAUAUUCGGAGGAACACCAGUGGCGAAGGCGGCUCACUGGCUCGAUACUGACGCUGAGGUGCGAAAGUGUGGGGAGCAAACAGGAUU